Molecule: long non-coding RNA, 331 nt
Organism: Humulus lupulus (European hop)
Lineage: Eukaryota; Viridiplantae; Streptophyta; Magnoliopsida; Rosales; Cannabaceae
Exons: 4
Source: RefSeq, a predicted model, not a curated record
UACCCAAACUGCAGGUCUCAUAUUUUUCUGCUCUAUAGGAGGUUGAUUCACUUGAGGAGGCUUUACCUUCUGCAUCUGAUUGGAUCUCUGGAUUUACAGAAGAUACAUCUGCGUCUGCCUCUGGAUAUGAGACCCUGGAUCAUUCGGACGAAUGGAUUACUGAUUGCCUUAAUGAUAAUGAGAUGCAUUUCAGCUCUGAUACUAUGAAUACUUCUGGCACAUCUGAUUUUCAAAUUGAUAUCGCAGAGUUUUGCGAGAUUGCACCCGAGUAUGAAAAUAAUUUUCCACAACAACGUGUUUCUACUCCACAGAAGAUAGUUUUCAAAGGUAC